AAAGGGGAAGGGAUGUGAAUACUUCCUGAAGACACAGGACAUGGAGGAUGAUAAAGUAGUGAUGGUGGAGAAAAGACCGUUGAAUAAAAUGAAUGGGCCGUGUUCCCACUGAUCAGACCAAGUCCAGGACUUGGUCUGCGUCUGGAAACGGGCUCUACCACAUAUAGGGUACUCUAUUGUAAGUGUUGUUUUGCAGGUGGAAUGUUCAGAACUAACACCAUGUUCUGGUAGAAUGUUCGAGUCACACCACUGUUCUAGAGGAAUGUUCUGAACACUCUGUGGGAGUGUUCCACUAUUCAUUUACACCUUUCCUUCAUUAGGAAUGUAGCCUCGUUAGAACCCCCCUCGUUAGCUUACCCUGUUACGAUCUGAGACCACCCAGCCAGACAGAGAGACAGCCAGCCAGACACGUACCCAUACAGCCAGACACACAUCCAUCCACCAAGACAGCCAGACACACACACACACAGCCAGACAGACACAGCCAGACAGACAGACACCCAGACAGCCAGACACGUACCCAUACAGCCAGACACACAUCCAUCCACCAAGACAGCCAGACACACACACACACAGCCAGCCAGACACACAGACAGAGAGACACGUACCCAUACAGCCAGACACACAUCCAUCCACCAAGACAGCCAGACACACACACACACACACAGCCAGACAGACACCCAGACAGAGAGACACGUACCCAGACAGCCAGACAUCCAUCCACCAAGACAGCCAGACACACACACACACACACAGCCAGACACCCACCCAGACAGAGAGACAGCCAGACACACACACACACACACAGCCAGACACCCACCCAGACAGAGAGACAGCCAGACACACACACACACACACAGCCAGACACCCACCCAGACAGAGAGACAGCCAGACACACACACACACACACAGCCAGACACCCACCCAGACAGACACAGCCAGCCAGACAUCCAUCCACCAAGACAGCCAGACACACACAUAGCCAGACAGACAGCCAGACAUCCACCCAGACAGACAGCCACCAACCCAGACAGUCACCCACCAAGACAGCCAGCCGGGUACCCAGACAGACACACAGCCAGACCCAGACAGACACACACACAGACACACACCCAGACAGACAGACAGACAGACAGGUACCCAGACAAACAGGUACCCAGACAGACACACAGACAGACACACACACACACCCAGACAGACAGACAGACAGACAGACAGACAGACAGACAGGUACCCAGACAGACAGGUACCCAGACAGACACACAGACAGACAGGUACCCAGACAGACACACAGACAGACAGGUACCCAGAGAGACAGACAGGUAUCCAGACAGACAGGUACCCAGACAGACAGCCUCACUGUGUUCCUCUACCUCACGCACACACUUUUUCUUCUCUGUCUGUCUCUCUCUCUCUUUCUGUCUGUCUUUCUCUCUCUGUCUCUCUUUGUCUCUGUCUGUCUCAAUCCAAUAUAAGGGCUUUAUUACCAUGGGAAACAUAUGCUAACAUUGCCAAAGCAAGUGAAGUCGAUAAUAUACAAAAGUGAAUUAAACAAAAAUGAACAGUAAACAUUACACUCACAGAAGUGC
This 1589-nucleotide long non-coding RNA is filed under the name Salmo salar (Atlantic salmon). RNAcentral describes it as "lncRNA (ENSSSAG00000088910.1)". Lineage: Eukaryota; Metazoa; Chordata; Actinopteri; Salmoniformes; Salmonidae. The record is from RNAcentral.